Molecule: long non-coding RNA, 448 nt
Organism: Dendroctonus ponderosae (mountain pine beetle)
Lineage: Eukaryota; Metazoa; Arthropoda; Insecta; Coleoptera; Curculionidae
Exons: 2
Source: RefSeq, a predicted model, not a curated record
AUCACUUUCAUCCGUUUAUUUAACAUUCCUGCGGCAUGCAGAAAACAGCAGCUAAGGAACUUUGUAUUAACAGUCAACAAUGUAUUUAAGGUUUUUGAACAUUUUGGUCUUCCAAUACAAGUCUCUGAUCAAGAAGCAACUUUGAUAUGUGUUGCCUUCUACCGAUUAAAAGCUUUCAAUGAUGAUCAAACGCGAACUUGACCCACCUUGAAGGAGGUUUUGCUACGUGUAUAGACUAUCCCUAAAACAUACAGGGUGUACCAAAACUCUCGAAUGUUCUCAAAUGUGUUUUUUUUUCAUUGAUACUUGCUGCUUAGUUAAUCUAUGCGAUGUUUACACCUGUAUACAGUACAGAUUUUAUUAUAAUUUAACUGUUGCGAAAUGUAUGGAAUAACCCAAAAUAUACAGAGUGUCUUGAAUAAUUUGGAUAACUCCAGUGUUUAUGAUA